UACGGAGGGAGCUAGCGUUAUUCGGAAUUACUGGGCGUAAAGCGCACGUAGGCGGCUUUGUAAGUAAGAGGUGAAAGCCCAGAGCUCAACUCUGGAAUUGCCUUUUAGACUGCAUCGCUUGAAUCAUGGAGAGGUCAGUGGAAUUCCGAGUGUAGAGGUGAAAUUCGUAGAUAUUCGGAAGAACACCAGUGGCGAAGGCGGCUGACUGGACAUGUAUUGACGCUGAGGUGCGAAAGCGUGGGGAGCAAACAGGAUGAGAUACCGUGUAGUCCAUAUCCAAGUCCUACGUGCCAUGACCCUAACUACACGACCCCGUAAUCAGCGGAG
This 327-nucleotide ribosomal RNA is filed under the name uncultured bacterium. RNAcentral's name for it is "partial 16S ribosomal RNA". It matches the Rfam family "Bacterial small subunit ribosomal RNA", at positions 524 to 851 of the family's 1533-position model. The record is from RNAcentral.